This 478-nucleotide ribosomal RNA is filed under the name uncultured bacterium. Its description in RNAcentral is "partial 16S ribosomal RNA". It matches the Rfam family "Bacterial small subunit ribosomal RNA", at positions 28 to 523 of the family's 1533-position model. The record is from RNAcentral.
AUUGAACGCUGGCGGCGUGCUUAACACAUGCAAGUCGAACGGAAAGGCCCUUCGGGGUACUCGAGUGGCGAACGGGUGAGUAACACGUGGGUGAUCUGCCCUGCACUUUGGGAUAAGCCUGGGAAACUGGGUCUAAUACCGAAUAUGAUCAUCGGCUUCAUGGUCGGUGGUGGAAAGCUUUUGCGGUGUGGGAUGGGCCCGCGGCCUAUCAGCUUGUUGGUGGGGUAAUGGCCUACCAAGGCGACGACGGGUAGCCGGCCUGAGAGGGUGACCGGCCACACUGGGACUGAGAUACGGCCCAGACUCCUACGGGAGGCAGCAGUGGGGAAUAUUGCACAAUGGGCGCAAGCCUGAUGCAGCGACGCCGCGUGAGGGAUGACGGCCUUCGGGUUGUAAACCUCUUUCAGCACAGACGAAGCGCAAGUGACGGUAUGUGCAGAAGAAGGACCGGCCAACUACGUGCCAGCCGCCGCUGUAA